UCAUGGUGGCAGCUUACAUACGAAAAGAGGAAGAUUUGCAGCGGAUGUUAGCUCAGGGCAAAUCUUCGUCAGGAAAAAAAAGGCAGAGGAGCAAACAAAGCCAUGAUUUACAAAGACUAAGAAGACUGAGAAAGAGUAGCAGAUAGAGUAGACUCAAUCACAGUCUCACUGUAACUCUGAUCCCACAUUCUGCAGUGACCAAAAUACUGAAGUGGGACUCACGAGACCCAGAUCUGGAGUAACCUUGAAUGGCAUGCCUAGCUUUUGAGUUUUCUCAUCUGAAUAAGGAAGAGAUGUAUAGAUGAAUUUCAAGAUCCUUUGGUAUCUUGACAUUCCACGAUUAUAAGUCCAAAAGUGUGUGCUUCACAAGACCGCCUAGAAAGAUGAUCGUUUCCAUGUCCCAAGCAAAGUCACGUCUUCUUUCAAGUCUAACCUGCACUCCACCUCUCCUUUCCCUCUGAGCACAGGGUGGAAAGGUUUGGGAUGAUUUGAUGAGAGCCGUUAAGAGCCAGGCCCAUCUUCAGACUGGACCUCAGGCUGGUGAGAAAGGCUCUCAUUCAUGCUGACACAGAUGUGUGGUUUCUAAGAAAGAAAGAGCUUCCGCAAGCAAUAGAGAACCAGGAAAACGGGACCUUGGGCAGGGACAGCCACACUCCAGAAUAAUCUGGGAUGGGGAAAGGCAGAGAGCAGGAGAGUGAGAUGAAAUCACUUUAACUUAGCCUUAGUCAUUGUUCUAAUGUUAGCUUGUGUGCUGUGAGCUUAUGGGACUGUCUUUUUGUGGGGUUAGCUUAGGACACCCAAAACUUGCUACAAAACUUCCUUUUCCAGGCAUUGCAACUUCCUCAUGUCACUCAAGUGCCCUGGUCCUUCUUUGGGCAUCCUCUCAUGCUGAGAGUCCCAGAGCUGAGCUACUAAGACAACACAUCAUACCAGGAUCAGAAUUUCCCCAAAAGACAACUUCACUGAGGAUCAGAUCCCUGAUGCCCUCUUUCAAAGAAUUUGGCAAUUUAAAGUCAAAUAUGGAUCUGAACUGGGGAAAUUCUCAAAGGUCCUUUAAUUCACUGAAUAAUUUAGAGUGGCUUACAGCAGUCCUGGCAUUCUGGGCCCCUUUUUUCUCCUGGAAAGGCUGAGUUUCAAGCUGAAUCCAGCUGAGCAUUAAUGAGGUUGCUCAGGUGGUGAGGUCAAGCCAGGAGGAAGCAUUAACUUGUCAAGUCUUAGCCUCAUGUUGAGGGCACCUGAUGAAUGACCCUGCCGUCUUUCAAGGUUGAGGGUGACACUCCCUGAUGGCCAUUACUGGCUAUUAGAAGACCUUGCUUAGAUCAGGAUUUGCAAACUUGCUAUUAAUCUUAGAAACCCUUCCUUUAAACCAAAUCUUAUAUGGCUUCUGAGGAGGUUUCCCAGAGCAGAGUUAGAAAAGAGCUGAAUCAAUUGGAAGACAAAUAAAAUGCAUAACUGCAAAAUUCCCUGCUGUUAGGGGAUUGUGGCGGGAGGUGGGGAGGUGUCUAAGGGUUAGUAGUGUUGCUUGGUCGUUUUUCAAGUCUGUUAAGUGUGGCAUUGUGAAUAACCUCGUAUUAUUGAUGAAAGAAUUACAAGGAAAAGGGAACAUCUCUAAAAAUAGAAUCUAGCCACCCUUGUACCCUAUGCUAUCUCAGCUGUCUUUCUGAGUUUCCCUCUGUGAUGAGGAUGAAGCUCAGAACUUUAGUAGAUAAGCCAACUGUCCCAAACGAAGAAUAACGAAUGGGCGGUGUCCACCAGUGACUAUCAAUAAAGUUACCAAAGGUAGGCCUGUGAUAGAACUACCCUCUUUUCUUCCACUCUUUUUUACUUUCCUUCCCUCCUUCCUAAUUUCAGAGUUCGAAAGAUAUUGAUGGUAGGCCUACUUUCCCACAUGGUUUCAUUAUGGUCUUCCCACCGAAACUAUUAACAAUGGCAUUAACUUUCAGCCCCUUUGUAAGAAAAUAACCUGCUUAAGUCAGGGGUUAAUAACAGUAGAGCAUCACUAAUUAUCCUGCAAAUCUUUACCCUGGUAUCAAACGUGACUUAAGUCUUUAAUGCCUCUGGAACGUCAGCCUCUAAAGACCCUGACUUGUUCCAUAAACAUAAUGACAGCAGCACAUUAGUGUCCUGGCCAUCUGUGACGAAAGAUGAGGGACAGAUGAAAAGCAGACAAAGGAGAAGAAUGCAGAGAGCAAGGACAAAGUCAAGGAAAGUGAAGAGAGGAGAGUAGCCAAAGAAACGAGGUCCCUUGGGUUGAGUUGGCUGGGCCUCCACACCUCUCGCCACGGGGACCAUCCGGCAUGGAGUUCUGAAGUGGUACAGUCCCAAAUCCCAGAGUGAGAGCCAUAUAAAACAAGACACUCUGAUGGGCCUGAAUUCAACCAGCACAGAUGCCAGGAACACCAAUGGUUUGCUUGAAGUUUGUGUCUAUCUAUGCUGGGCUGAGCGAACAACAAAAUGGGAGCUAGCACAGCCAGGAAAUUCUUUAGUGAAGAUGUUCAGAGUCCAACUGGGAGUGGAACUGCCAUGAUGGCUCUUCUAUUUAGCUCACUGUCUGCUGCUCCUAUCUUCUCAUUCUCAGUCCUCUGCCUCCAAACACGCUUGAGCAGCAGGCACAGAACCAUGUGAGCAAAAGCUUUAUAGCAAAAUGGCUUAAAGUUUCAAGAAUCUCUCACCCAACAGAAGCACAGGAGGUUCUUUUUUCAAGUAACUAGAACCUUCUUGACUUGCUGAGAUUUGAAAUAGAAAUUUCCGCUUAUGACCAGGAGAAAGAUAAUUGAAUUUCUAUUUCCCUUGCUUGGUGAUAUUUGCUCUCAAUUUCAAAAACAAGAGAGCCUCAAAACAUUAAUGAUCCAAUGAUGAGAAAUGGAAUAGCAGGUUAAAGGCAGCAUUGGAUGCGGAGCUGGGGAACUAAGGCUCUGUAAACUCUCUGGAGCUCACUUUUCUCAUGUUCAAAUGAUGGAACUAGAAGGUCUCUAAGGACUCCCCAGCUCUAACCAUAGUAUUUAAUGACACAAAACCACACAAGACACUUGGCUCUAGUUAGACCCCAAAUCAGAUAUAGGCUGGUAUAUUUUUGCAUGCCAAGUGGAAAAAAGUCUCUGAGUUUUUCAAAUCAGACUUCUCCUCCUGGAGUUUGGACUGCUUCCAGCUCAGUCCAGCCUAUCAAUUUAUAGAGUAAGGAUUGACUGUAUUUAAACUCAUGAUAGUGACCUAUGGAAACACCAAUCAGUGGUCCCCAAUAAGAAAUCAUCCACAUAUAGAUGCUUCCAAAUGGUUUCCAAUGAGUUACGUACCUUUGAUCAACUAUGUUUGCAUGGACAAGGGUAGUCUAGAUAAGAAAAUUUCAUCUGAUCUCCCUCUGCAGCCCCACCAUAUCGCUUUAUAGACCUAUACUCUAAAAAUCAGAAAUAUAACUUUCUUUACUGUUGCCCACCCACCCACUUCUAUUUUUCCAGAAGGAGUUGAAAAUGGACUAAAAUGAAUCAACACAGAAAGCAGGAGUGAUGUGAGAGAAGAAAUAAGGACCCUCAAUGGUCCAUGGCAUGUUGUCUCCGAGAGCAGGCGAGGGCAGGAACUGUGGAAAGCAGAGGGUGGCUUUUUAAACCAGACUUGGCAGAAAGCAGCAAAGCUUUCUAUGGCUAUGCUAGAAGUAGGUCACUCUAUGCUACUCUGUGCUGGCAUGAAUAGCAAUCGAGCAAAUACACGAACAUUCUAUUUACCUAGCCAUGGAGAUGAAAACAUUCCUGUGGGGGAAAAAUGCAGCCAAAAGGUUCUGACACAACCAGAGGGAUGAGGAGGCAUUCAAAUGGCUUAUGAUUUCAUCCAGAACGGUUUGCUUGUUCCUAACACAGUGUUUCUCUGGAUCUUUUCAAACCUCUGCAAAGAGUUUAUCCACAUGAUACUCAUUAAAGUCUCAUUUGAAAGGGAAAAAAAUAAGCCCAAAGUUCUUUGAAAAAGGCAGGGUUAUCUGAGCCACAGAUGUACUGGGACAAAGAAACUGGCAGCAUUGAACAUGAGAUCCAGGAAGAAAAAGCAACACAAAGAUUCAGGAAAUGAAACCAGGACUAAAUCAUAUUAGGUGUAUAAAGGUUGGACUUCUUAUAAAACAAGGAAAGAGUGGAUUGAAUGUCUGAGAGAAUAUUCUGAAUGUAAAAAUGACAGACUGUUGGUGAAGGAGCUGGUGUCUUUCCCAGGACCCAGAAGAAUGACAGCAUGGGCUAUGGGGCAAUUUGUAAGGCCAAGUAUUGGGACCAAGCUAGAUCUCUCCCAGGCUUCACAUCCCAUAAUCAUGGGGGUUUAUAUAAAAAUGUCUAAAGGAAUUUCACCCUUUAGGAAUUUCACUUCUAGGAGUUGGGAUUAAUUCUCCCUUCCCAUUUAAGUCUCUUUAUGUAUGGCUCUAUUUUGAAAGAAGUAUCAUAAUUUUAGGAAAACACUCAGCCACCAUUUCCCCAUUGUGUUCCAUUUUCUGGGCCCUCAAACACUUCUCUUCUUCUGCUUCCCUGCUGCUACCUCAUCAGGCGCAUUCUGAAGGGGGCUGGAGACGGAAUUGAGUAUCCCAGCCACCAUAAAACCUAAGCACACAGUCUCACAAAGAAACUUAGAGAUACUGUCCUCAUUUUACAGAUGUCCAAUCCUUCAACAGAAUAAACUCCACAUCCCCCAUUUAAAAUGUAACAAAAGCUCAGAGAGUUAAGCAUUUUGCCCAAGGUCACACGGAGCAUUAGCUCUUAAGAAAUCCAAGGAAAGAAUCUCAGACUAAGGUUCUUUCUGUUAUAUUGCCUCUCAAAAUCCAGAAAAAAUUGAAAAUAUAAUUUUUAUAUUCCAAGAUGCUUCGACUUUGAAUAUUUUCUUUAUUGCUCCAUCCAGUAUAUUUAAUUUUAGACUCUCUGCACCAUAUAAAGUGCUGUCAAAAUUCAAGUUCUGUCAACAGCCGGUAACUGUUGUGGUCCAACGAAUGCUGUGAAUGUUAUGUGUUUAAUGCUCAAGCAAAAAUGUCAAUUUUCACCUUGGCGUUAUUAGACCUAGGGAAAAAAAAUCAAUUUGGCCCAUAAGAUGUUCAACAGCCACUCUCCUACGUCCUUCCUUUUCCCCUCCUAAGCAUAUCUCUGUUCCUCCAUUUUUUGUCCCAUCACCAGGUAUAAAAGAAUACAGGCAUCGCACAUCUCAACAAAGACUUUACAGAAAAUUAGAUAAAAAGGGAAUCAAUUUUUUUAUCCAAUGCUUGAUUAUCAUUAGACCAGCAGUCUUAUUUCCUUUAGACCAAAAAUAGUUUCUUGUAGAAAUAAAGUCACUUUUAUGGUUAGUAAUUGCAUCCAAUGCAUUUCUGUAGCAAAUGACACAAACUCAUUUAUGAAGUAACUCCUUUUCGUUAAUUGAGGAAGAAAGUCUGUGUAUCCCCCAUAUUUGUGAAUAUAAAGAGAUGGAAAAGAAGAGGUUAACUGACUUUCUCUAAAUCACACCACGAAACAAAUUAGAGUUAGAGUUCACAGCUCCUGCCUCUUCUGUCCAAUUUGUUAUUGGAGUCACAGAGGAAUGUCUUUCAGUGAAACUUCUUGAGAUUUUAUGUACCUAAUUCUGUUCUGUUUCCCUAGGGAGGAAGUGUAGUGAAGGGGAAAGAGAAUGGACUUUAGAAUCAGACAGACGUGGUUAGACUCCCAACUCUGACAUUUGCUGGUCACACGAGCCCAGGCAACUUACAUAACCUCGGAGCCUCUGUGUCUUCAUUUGUAAAAUGUAGAUAAUAACACAUACUUCAAAGGGUAUGUGAGGAUUAAAUGAGACUGGGUAUGAAAUGUACAGCAGGUACUCAAUACAUGUAUGCAAACUUCUUGUCUGUAUUUUUUUUCCUGGACAAUUAAAAUAUAACUGGGCCACAAGAGAGAGAUGACAUAUUAGAAAUUGGAGACCCAUCCUCACAUAUUUCCCAAUAGCUUGUGAAUUCUAACAUUUCAACUUGAAUUUAGAUAAAUUUUGUAGAGAAAAUGCACUGAUGGUACUAGUGAGAAUGCUAGUGCCUUCUCACUGGGCAGCAUGGAUUAGGGAAAAUGUGAACUGGAAAAAGGAAAACCAAGGAUCUCUUGACUCGGCCACUAGUGGGCUGUGUGAACUUUCAUUCAUUCAUUCAUGCAUUCAUUUAUUUCUUUAAAAAGUAUUUUACUGCAUCCCAACUUCAUGCCAAAUACUAAAGGUUACAAAUAUGAAUGAGCCUGCCCAUAAGGAGUUUACAUUCUAGAAUGGGCAGGGAAAAAACAAACAAACAACAACUAGGAAUGCAAUGAAGGGGCUGUGAGAGAUGUGUACACAGGACAGAGUGAGCGUGUAAGGAAAGAUUAGCCAAUUCUUCCAAAGGAGAGACCAUCAGGAAGGUUUCAAAAGAGAGAUGAUAUUUGCACUAAGUAUAAGGUAAGAGUGGUUAUCCAAGCACAGUGUGUGUGACAAGGGGAAGACACACUCGUCUUACUCUUGGCUAUGAUGUGAAGCCAUGUAAUAAUAGUAAGGCACAUCCUAGGCCAUCAAGAUGGCGCGUGGCAGGCUGUACAAAGCUGAAGAGCUCACUGGAGGCCAGAUUACAGAAGACUCUGUGUGCCAUGCUUAAGAGUUUGAACUUUACUCUCCAGCAAAAGGGAGUAAAAGACAAGACCUGAUUUGUGCUUUUAGAAAGGUACCUGUGGAAUGUAAGACCAGAAGGGCUGAGAUCAAAGACAAAGGGGAGAUCAACUACUAAGUGUCAAGUUAAGAGGGGUAAAGGGUUUGCCCUAUGGAAAGGAGAUGACAGGAAGGGCAGAGGAGAAAUAGAAAGGGAAGAAUUAACAGAGUGAGCCAUUCCUUGGACGUGGGGAUGAGGGGAAGGGAAGAUGUGUGGAUAACCUUGGAAGGCUGACGUGAGGUUUGCGCCAUUCACCCAUAGAGGAAACACAGGAUGGGAGCAGCUGUGAGUGAGAAAGCGGAAGUUCGAUAGGCUGAGUUUGAAUUACAUGUUGUACCUCCAGGUAGAAACAUCCCAUAGAUCUGUAAAUGGACAUGUCAGAAGCACAUGGAACACAGCAAAACUCUCACGUAUCGUCACGUACAAGUUAUGGCAAAUUGAAGUCAUGGGAAUGGAUGAAUUCACCUCCGAGUGAGCAUUGUGUAAGGUUAGGGGCCAGGGAUGAUACCAGGGACAACACUAUCCUUUCAGGCAUAGGCUUCUCUGGGCCUCAGUUUCCUGUUCUAUCAAGUGAGAAGAAUGGGCUUUGUGCUUUCUUAGGUGACUUUCUCUUCUACAAUGUCUCAUUUCGUGCUUUUAUACUCGGCUCAGACUUUCACUUACAAACGGCUCUCUUUUCUUUCUUCCACCUUUGUUAUUUUUGGAAAAGGUUGUUUGAAGCUUAAGCUCCUGUGAAGUGGCCCCUUGAUCUUCCUGUCAUGAGGACAUGCAUGCAAAGAGUACAGCAGGGAGACUCCACAGAAGAAGAAAAGGCAAGCGAGAAUCAGGGCAGGUCUCAGCUCCAGGACGUGGCCCUUCUCACGCCUUCAAAGAAGCCACAAGAGCAUGGAGUUCCCUCCCACUCCUCAGUUGUUCAGGCUUUGUCUUCUGUGGAGAUGGAAAGUAACCACUUGGGAGCCCCUCGUAAUAUCUGCAAAUGCACGACCACUGCGCUCUGCAGCCCCAAAUGCCUUUGACUGCAAAGCCCAGCGCUGCUCCACUUCACAGGAGGAAGCUAAGUUCGCGUAGUCAUACUUCUGAAACUCCAGCAGGGGUGAACCGUGGGAGGGGGUCACAAUUUCCACUUAGGAAGAAAGAAAGGCAAAUGACUGCACUGACCAAGGAUAAGACAACCAUCUAGUUAUGCUUCACCACAAUCCAAGACCCUACAUGUCUCCACUAAAGAUAGAGGCUGUCAUGUGAGCUCCCAGGGUUUAUGCGACUUCUCAACCAAAGAGCAUGUCCCUCUCAAAAUAAAAAUCUCCAGGGUGGUACAUUCUGAGUCCAAUUCCUGUUUUCAUAACUCAAACCUAUUAUUCUAAUCCCAACCUAUCUAUAGGAAAGGUGAACUCCGAUAACUGCCUUGCUUUCCACUUUAAGGUUUUUCACCUCUUCACUUUUCCUUUCAAAUUCUUUCCAUUUCAGAGGGAAAGCUAUUCUGUUUCUUCCCAAAGUUCAACCCCUCUACCUAGGCCCUUCAUCUUCUUCCUCACUUGCUCUCUCUCAGGAUGUUGCUCUAUUACCCUAUCUCUUUUACCUUCAAUCUGUCUUUCCAGUAUUUCUUCCUCCUUGGUCUAAAAUAAUACUAAAAGUCAUUCUCACCUCCAUCUGCUCCAAAAGAAACUUUGCACCUUGAUUUUGACUUUUCUUACCGCCUUUUUUCCUUUUCAUUAAUUGCUAACCCUUCAAAAGUGGAGCCUACAAAUUCAUUUUCUUCACUCAUUUUCCCAUUUACUUUUUAAGCUGCUAACUUCUGGAUUCUUCCCCAAAUGAUAUGGGGUGUGAGCAGAAGAGUUCUAACUGGGCCAAGAUCCUCUUGGAAACAUGGCUGGGAUACAGCAGUCAAUGUCGAAUAGAUGAAGGCAUCAACACAGGAAAGGGAUGGA
Equus caballus (horse) is the source of this 8571-nucleotide non-coding RNA. The record is from RefSeq and is a predicted model, not a curated record. Lineage: Eukaryota; Metazoa; Chordata; Mammalia; Perissodactyla; Equidae.